Molecule: long non-coding RNA, 331 nt
Filed under: Cyanistes caeruleus (blue tit)
Lineage: Eukaryota; Metazoa; Chordata; Aves; Passeriformes; Paridae
Description: lncRNA (ENSCCEG00000020826.1)
Source: RNAcentral
ACCUGUCUGUGCCAAAUCAACAUACCCUCAUAAAAAGGAACCUUAAAUUCGAGAUGAAGAGGGACAAAGACUAGGAGAGAAGUAUAGGUUCAAGUAAAGAGUUCUUCAAAGAAGGUGGAUAAGGGUACAUAAAAAAUGGAAGGAUUGACCAGCCUGUAUCUGUCCUCCUCUAAUUGCUUCCUACACCAGAAAGAUAAGGUGAUGAACUUGGAUCUUUGGCAGUAUCUAGCUGAUAAACAGAAACAUCAGGAUUAGAAGAGACCUUCAAGAUCAUCCCAUCCACAGUGAACCCAGUACUCCAAUAAUUACCCCUAAACUGUGUCACAUCCAG